Molecule: ribosomal RNA, 431 nt
Filed under: uncultured bacterium
Lineage: Bacteria
Description: partial 16S ribosomal RNA
Rfam family: Bacterial small subunit ribosomal RNA
Source: RNAcentral
AACGAACGCUGGCGGCAGGCUUAACACAUGCAAGUCGAACGCCCCGCAAGGGGAGUGGCAGACGGGUGGGUAACGCGUGGGAACAUACCCUUUUCUACGGAAUAGCUCUGGGAAACUGGAAUUAAUACCGUAUACGCCCUACGGGGGAAAGAUUUAUCGGGGAAGGAUUGGCCCGCGUUGGAUUAGCUAGUUGGUGGGGUAAAGGCCUACCAAGGCGACGAUCCAUAGCUGGUCUGAGAGGAUGAUCAGCCACAUUGGGACUGAGACACGGCCCAAACUCCUACGGGAGGCAGCAGUGGGGAAUAUUGGAAAAUGGGCGCAAGCCUGAUCCAGCCAUGACGCGUGAGUGAUGAAGGCCUUAGGGUUGUAAAGCUCUUUCACCGAUGAAGAUAAUGACGGUAGUCGGAGAAGAAGCCCCGGCUAACUUCGUG